This 500-nucleotide ribosomal RNA is filed under the name uncultured bacterium. RNAcentral's name for it is "bacterial SSU rRNA". It matches the Rfam family "Bacterial small subunit ribosomal RNA", at positions 29 to 524 of the family's 1533-position model. The record is from RNAcentral.
AACGAACGCUGGCGGCGCGCCUAAUACAUGCAAGUCGAGCGAGAAGACGUAGCAAUACGUUUGUAAAGCGGCGAACGGGUGAGGAAUACAUGGGUAACCUACCCUCGAGUGGGGAAUAACUAGCCGAAAGGUUAGCUAAUACCGCGUACGCUCCUUGGACUUCGGUUCAGGGAGGAAAGCGAUACCGUGGGUAUCGCGCUCUUGGAUGGGCUCAUGUCCUAUCAGCUUGUUGGUGAGGAACGGCUCACCAAGGCUUCGACGGGUAGCUGGUCUGAGAGGACGAUCAGCCACACUGGCACUGCGACACGGGCCAGACUCCUACGGGAGGCAGCAGUAAGGAUAUUGCGCAAUGGGCGAAAGCCUGACCCAGCGACGCCGCGUGGGGGAUGAAGGUCUUCGGAUUGUAAACCCCUUUCGGGAGGGAAGAUGGAACGAGCAAUCGUUCGGACGGUACCUCCAGAAGCAGCCACGGCUAACUUCGUGCCAGCCGCCGCCGUAAC